GUCCCCAAACACCUUCCAGGUGAUGACUUUGGGUCCUGAGGAUUGCAGAGGGGGUUGGGUCUGUGGGGUCAGAGGUCGUUGACCUCACAGCAGAUGGACAGGGUGCUUGCUGUCAGCAGGGGCUGUGGCUGUCCUGACCUUGGGGACCUCAGUCCUCUGGUUAUAUGUUGCCUGGUCUAUCUUGGGUCCCACGGAUGCUAGUCUAUCACAAAGCCUUCUGCAGAUUCGCUGGGGAAACCUAGUCGAGGUAGCCUUCAGCCUCGGAAGCCUUCGCAGCUCCUAGUUGCCUGCAGAAGAGGGAGGGGCCCUCUGGGCCGAGAUCUGCCCCGCCCGCCUCUGCUGCCUCCCCUUCCCUGGUGAGAGAGUUCAUGGUAGUGCAGGGCCUUUGAACUGGCUGCAGCACCCCCCUUGAGGGCUUGUUCUACACAGCUGACUGCACCCCACCCCUGGAAUCCCCAAUCCAGCAGCUGAAAGGGGCCUGAGUAUUUGCAUUUCUCAGAGGUUCCCAGGUGCCGCCCAUGCAGCCAGUCCGGAAACCCACUUUGAGAACCACCUUCAUAGAGGUGACAUAUACUCAAAAACCAGGCAGCGUAGGCUCGAGACCCUGCUUCACCAUGUACCUGCUGUGAGCUCUCAGGCAAGGACUUUACCUCUCUGUGCCUCAGCUUCCUCAUCUGUACAAUGGAAUAUUAACAGCACCAGUCUCAUAGAUUAGUUGUGAGGAUUAAAUGAGCUAACACUCAUAACAUGCCUAGAACAGUGCCUGGGCACGGAGUAAGCACCAUAUGUGUGUUUGCUGUUAUUACAAUUACUGCUGUUAUUUUUAUUUUUUUAUUUUUUUUGCUUUUUAGGCCCACACCUGUGGCUUAUGGAGGUUCCCAGGCUAGGAGUCAAAUUGGAGCUACAGCUGCCAGCCUACACCACAGCCACAACAACACAGAAUCUGAUCGUGUCUGCGACCUAUACCACAGCUCAUGGCAACACCAGAUCCUUAACCCAUUGAGCGAGGCCAGGGAUCGAACCCGAAACCUCAUGGUUCCUAGUCAGAUUCGUUUCCUCUGUGCUACGACAGGAAGUCCACUGCUGUUAUUUUUAUUACCAUUAUUAUUUCCCUCCACCUGCACCCCCACCCCCACGCUGCUCUGCUUCUGGGGAAUCCUUUGCUGGUCUAAUUCCCAGCAGACAUUCACACGUCCAGAUCUCUCUGCUCAAGCUCUUCCCUCUACCGGGGUGCCUCCCCUCCCCUGCACCUGUUAAAAUGCUGCCCAUCCUUAUAGACUCAGCUCAGAUUGCUGCAUUGAGCCUCGCCGUGCUCCCACUCUGCCCCAGGCAGAAUCCACAGCCCUUUCCUUUGCCUUCCCUGAUCACAUGACUUAUUUAGUCCCCUAAUGCAGCUCUUCUGUCAUCCUGCCCAUCAUCCAUUUCCUUGGAUGCCUGCCUCCCAUGCUGCCCCAUAAGCUCCUUCAGAUCUGACUUCUCCAGGCUUUGAAGGCACAGAGAAGGUCCCCUGGGAAUUUUACCCCCAACGUACAGCCUUGGUGGAUUUCAAGGAGGCCAGCCUCAGUGGCAGCUUCUGGGCUGCAGGGUGGAGCCCCACUGCGGAUGCGGGAUUUCCCAAUUCAGUAAGAGUGUGAGCUCGGCAUCCAAAAGUCCCAGGGUCAUUUCUGAGUUUUACCAUUUAGCUCUGUGCGGCCUUUGGGUAAUUUUCUUAAUUACUUGUACCCUUCUUAUCUUCAUUUUGAAGUGAUAUUGUCAUCACAUCAAUAGAUUUUUGUGUGGAUUCAGUGGGGGCUCAUGCAGCAAAUAUUGAGCAUCUUCUGUUUGCCAGACUCCAUGCUAGACCCCAGGGAACCAGCAGUGAGCAAGCCAGACCAUCCCUGCCCUUGGGCAGCUGACGUUUUAGGGGAAAAGAUGGACACAAAGGGAGAUGUACGAGGGUUCUCCAGAGAAACAGAACCAAUGGGACAUACACGGAUGGAUGGAUGGAUGGAUGGAUGGAUUUGAAGCCAAAUUCUGUUAUUGCAGAAAUUUGGCUCACCCCGUUGUGGGAGCUGAGAAGCCAUGACCUGCCAUCUGCAAGCUGGGGAACCAGGAAAGCAGCUGAUGUAAUUCAUUCAGUCUGAGUCCGGAGGCCUGAGGACCAGGUGCACCUGUGUGGGAGGGUGGGUGAAAAUGGCUGUCCCGGCUCGAGCAGAGAAAAAAAAAAAAAAAAAAAAAAA
RNAcentral lists this long non-coding RNA (2219 nucleotides) under Sus scrofa (pig). Its description in RNAcentral is "lncRNA (ENSSSCG00005026520.1)". The record is from RNAcentral. Lineage: Eukaryota; Metazoa; Chordata; Mammalia; Artiodactyla; Suidae.